Molecule: ribosomal RNA, 503 nt
Filed under: uncultured Flavobacterium sp.
Lineage: Bacteria; Pseudomonadati; Bacteroidota; Flavobacteriia; Flavobacteriales; Flavobacteriaceae
Description: bacterial SSU rRNA
Rfam family: Bacterial small subunit ribosomal RNA
Source: RNAcentral
GAGUUUGAUCGUGGCUCAGGAUGAACGCUAGCGGCAGGCUUAACACAUGCAAGUCGAGGGGUAUAGGUUUUCGGACCUAGAGACCGGCGCACGGGUGCGUAACGCGUAUGCAAUCUGCCUUUUACAGAGGGAUAGCCCAGAGAAAUUUGGAUUAAUACCUCAUAGUAUUAUAGAGUGGCAUCAUUUUAUAAUUAAAGUUCCAACGGUAAAGAUGAGCAUGCGUCCCAUUAGCUAGAUGGUAAGGUAACGGCUUACCAUGGCGACGAUGGGUAGGGGUCCUGAGAGGGAGAUCCCCCACACUGGUACUGAGACACGGACCAGACUCCUACGGGAGGCAGCAGUGAGGAAUAUUGGUCAAUGGGCGCAAGCCUGAACCAGCCAUGCCGCGUGCAGGAUGACGGUCCUAUGGAUUGUAAACUGCUUUUGUACAGGAAGAAACAGUUCUACGUGUAGAACCUUGACGGUACUGUAAGAAUAAGGAUCGGCUAACUCCGUGCCAGCCG